Molecule: ribosomal RNA, 465 nt
Filed under: Vreelandella stevensii
Lineage: Bacteria; Pseudomonadati; Pseudomonadota; Gammaproteobacteria; Oceanospirillales; Halomonadaceae
Description: partial 16S ribosomal RNA
Rfam family: Bacterial small subunit ribosomal RNA
Source: RNAcentral
CCUACGGGGGGCAGCAGUGGGGAAUAUUGGACAAUGGGGGCAACCCUGAUCCAGCCAUACCGCGUGUGUGAAGAAGGCCCUCGGGUUGUAAAGCACUUUCAGUGAGGAAGAACGCCUGGUGGUUAAUACCCAUCAGGAAAGACAUCACUCACAGAAGAAGCACCGGCUAACUCCGUGCCAGCAGCCGCGGUAAUACGGAGGGUGCGAGCGUUAAUCGGAAUUACUGGGCGUAAAGCGCGCGUAGGUGGCUUGAUAAGCCGGUUGUGAAAGCCCCGGGCUCAACCUGGGAACGGCAUCCGGAACUGUCAAGCUAGAGUGCAGGAGAGGAAGGUAGAAUUCCCGGUGUAGCGGUGAAAUGCGUAGAGAUCGGGAGGAAUACCAGUGGCGAAGGCGGCCUUCUGGACUGACACUGACACUGAGGUGCGAAAGCGUGGGUAGCAAACAGGAUUAGAUACCCGAGUAGUC